Molecule: long non-coding RNA, 99 nt
Filed under: Octodon degus (degu)
Lineage: Eukaryota; Metazoa; Chordata; Mammalia; Rodentia; Octodontidae
Description: MEST intronic transcript 1, antisense RNA conserved region 3 (ENSODEG00000021410.1)
Rfam family: MEST intronic transcript 1, antisense RNA conserved region 3
Source: RNAcentral
UAAGUACAUUUGUUUGUGGUCUUCAAAAUAUGAUCAUUUUGGGGGCAUUAAGUCCAUUAAUUAGAAAAUUAUCUUCAUCUUGUAUGCUGGGCCCUCUGA